CCUGCAAUAUUAUGAUCACAAAAUUAAUUCAAGUUAAGAGUUGAUUGUGCAUGUAUAAGAAAAUAUUAUAUUUGUUGACAAAGCUCUAAAUUUAGUUUGGUGUAAUUACAUGUAACGUGACAUUAUUGUGAUUAGAGGCGGAUCCAUGAUUUCAAGAAGAUGGGCGUACAAUUAGACAUGAGGGGUUCUCCAAUGGUAAGCAUCCGCCAUUUUCAACCUAUAGGUUGUGAGUUCGAGUCUCCUCAAGAGAAUGGUGGGAAGUUCUUGGAGGGAAGGAUGCCGAGGUUCUAUUUUGAAACAGCCUCUCUACCCUAGAGUAGGGGUAGGUCUGCGUAUACAGUAUUCUCCCCAGACCCUACUAAGUGGGAUUAUACUGAGUUGUUUUUUGUUGGGUGUGUUAUUGUGAAGAACCGGAUUUGAAAUUUACAUUUGACGGGUUUAACUUAAGUUUCUUACCAUGAACCUUCUACACUUUUUAAAUUAUAGGUUCAAAAUUAUAUUCUUUUUGAAAUUUUAAUGAUUUUAGCACACAUAUAUCCAUACAUCUAAACUCUUGUGCCGAAACAAAACCGUUCGAAAUGAAUUUUGAACCGUCAAUUACACUAAUAGAGGUACAUCAAUUAAUAAUUACACCAUAAUAGUCUUUGAACAUGAGAUACAUACACAUGUAUUUAAGUAAUUUUAUAGAAAUAUAAUUUUGUUAAACAUGAGUUUACGUAUACUCUUAUCCCUUAACCUAAAUAUGCCUCUUGACUACGACUCACUUCCUGUAUGUCUACGUUAUGAAGCUGAAAGAUAUAAUAGGAGUAAUAUUUAGCAUAUCAAUGCAUAUAAGGUAAAUCCAUAACGAUUGUACAUGAUGUGAAUUAAGUAAAUUUAAGUAGUGUUGAAUCAAACUUUCAAAGUAAAGUAAACAAUAACACAAUAAUGAGAAGGUACCAGGAUAGGAAGGUGCAUGUUGAACAACAUGCGGCAAAUCAAAAUUGGUGCCCUUAAUUGUGGGGUAUUUAGCUGUAAUCAUCUUGAGGUUGACUCCAAGACCACCUCCAACAUCAACCAGAGUUUUAAGGUUGUCAAAACCUUUGUAAUUUUCAAGUAUCUUUUUCAUGGCUACAGUUGUGUGAUUGAGCAUUGCACUGUUGAAAACAUCAUUAAAUUUUGGGUUUGAUUUUGGAUAUUCAAAUGCAUGUACACCGUGUACCCUGUCAAAUGGAACUCCUCCCUCAAGAACUGCAUCUUUUAAUUCAAACCUAUAAUUUAGAUUAGAUAGACAGUCAGAUAUGAACAUAUGUUCUAAUUUUGUCAUGCCUCUUCUAAAUUGAAAAAAAAAAGUUUAAGAUUCAACAAAUCUUUCAUUUAUUUUAAUUUUUUAUUUUUUGUUGAAAUUAUUUCAUUUAAAGUUACUAACCCACUAUUAUCAUGGAAAUUGCUACUAAACAAAUUGAACGGAAUCGUUUAUGGCUUUUUCUAUAUAGUAGUAAAGUAAUUGUAGUUUAGAGAGAACUUGGUCAAAUUGUGUCAUAGCACCAACAUCUACGAGAUGCAUUUAUUAAUAUAUAAAUUUUUACAUUUAAACUAAAAUAAGUUCAAUCUAAGAAUCUAAUUUAUCUAAAUCGCCUAUAAACAGUGAGCUAUUUAAUAAAAUGAGGUAAAACAAAUUAGUUAAUUUGAGAGAAUACAUUAUUAUUAGCGUUUGAGAAUUUUUUUCCCUUAAAACUUGAUCUUGAAAGUAUAUAUCUAAUGUCUUCGACGCCUUAAUAAUGCUCCUAAGUUUGUAAGUCAUUUCUGACACUAAAGUUUGCUAAAUGACCGGCUAUCCGGUCUAUUCUCUUUGAUACUUAUGCUGGUGGAAGGUAACAGAUAUACGUUGAAACUAGUCUAAAUACCACCAUUAAAAAUGUGACUAUUCAAUCUUAUACGAAUUUAAUUUAGUUAAUGAUUUCCAUUGAUUCUACUCGAAUAGUUUUGCUGUGUUACAUGCGCAACAUCCACCAUAGUAUAAGACAUGAUAAAAUUUGUAGUAGAUGGAAAGUAACCAUAUAUGAAUUUUCCGUUGUUUUCUAAAGGUAAUUUACCUUAACCAUCCAGAAAUAUUUGAAAAUUAUAUUGUACCCCUUGGCUUUGGUAAUUGGGUGGAUGUAGGGUUACAAUUUUAAAGGGGGUAUCGUUGAGCCAAUUGAUGCAUGACAUCCAUUAGCCUCAGUCGUCUAGCUAGUUGGUAUUAUAAACUCAUGGUGUCGCAAGAAAAGAUUCAAUUGUCAUUUUCUCCGUUAUGAGCAAGACCUUUUUUUCUAUUUUAUAAAUUCAAAAUUCAAAAGAAAAGAAUUAGAGUAUAAAAGGCAUGAAUAUAUAUAUACACACACGCACUCAAUCCUGCCGUCCUUGCCAUAUCCCGUUUAAGAUUUUGGCUCACAUUAAUAUCAUUUGAUGGUAUUAGUCAUAAGUAUUAUUUGACUAAAUAAACUUUAUAGUUUCCUUAAUUCAAUAGUUAAUGACUGUGCAUCUUUAGAGUAAUAAAGCUAGAAUGAAUUAGUAAUGGCCAAUUUUUCUAAAAAGACAAAUAUGUUGUAAUGGAUUAUACACUAAUAUUCAUUAUUUACUUUGGCUACCUAGUGUAUAUAAAUUAUACAUUGAUUAUACAUAAUUAUAUAUAUAUAUAUAUAUAAUGAAGCUGAAAGAUAUAAUAGGAGUAAUAUUUAGCAUAUCAAUGCAUAUAAGGUAAAUCCAUAACGAUUGUACAUGAUGUGAAUUAAGUAAAUUUAAGUAGUGUUGAAUCAAACUUUCAAAGUAAAGUAAACAAUAACACAAUAAUGAGAAGGUACCAGGAUAGGAAGGUGCAUGUUGAACAACAUGCGGCAAAUCAAAAUUGGUGCCCUUAAUUGUGGGGUAUUUAGCUGUAAUCAUCUUGAGGUUGACUCCAAGACCACCUCCAACAUCAACCAGAGUUUUAAGGUUGUCAAAACCUUUGUAAUUUUCAAGUAUCUUUUUCAUGGCUACAGUUGUGUGAUUGAGCAUUGCACUGUUGAAAAUUUAAGUCGUUAAAAGAAUGACUAUUUAUGUUAUUUUUCUUUUUUUUUAAUUGAAGUGAUCAAUAAAAGGAUAAGAUGGAAAAUAAUAACACACAUACGACU
Molecule: long non-coding RNA, 3131 nt
Filed under: Nicotiana benthamiana
Lineage: Eukaryota; Viridiplantae; Streptophyta; Magnoliopsida; Solanales; Solanaceae
Description: long non-coding RNA (NBEN_LNC008090)
Source: RNAcentral